GGACUACCAGGGUUUCUAAUCCCGUUUGCUCCCCUGGCUUUCGCGUCUCAGCGUCAGAAAACGUCCAGGACCUCGCUUUCGCCACGGGCGUUCCUUCCGAUCUCAACGCAUUUCACCGCUCCACCGGAAGUUCCAGGUCCCCCUACGUUCCUCCAGAAAAGUCGUAUCGGCGCCCGUUCCCCGGUUGAGCCGGGGGAUUUCAACGACCGACGUGCCUUUCCGCCUACACGCGCUUUAAGCCCAGUGAUUCCGAAUAACGUUCGCACGGUUCGUCUUACCGCGGCUGCUGGCAC
RNAcentral lists this ribosomal RNA (293 nucleotides) under uncultured Planctomycetota bacterium. RNAcentral describes it as "uncultured planctomycete partial 16S ribosomal RNA". Lineage: Bacteria; Pseudomonadati; Planctomycetota. The record is from RNAcentral.